RNAcentral lists this ribosomal RNA (591 nucleotides) under uncultured eukaryote. Its description in RNAcentral is "partial Bacterial large subunit ribosomal RNA". It matches the Rfam family "Bacterial large subunit ribosomal RNA", at positions 1118 to 1723 of the family's 2925-position model. The record is from RNAcentral.
AUCCUUUAAAGAGUGCGUAAUAGCUCACUGGUCGAGUAGGCCUGCGCCGAAAAUGAACGGGGCUAAGUAAUUUGCCGAAGCUGUGGGAUAUUUAUAAUAUCGGUAGGGGAGCGUUCUGUUGUAGGUUGAAGCAUUAACGAAAGUAGAUGUGGACGACGCAGAAGUGAGAAUGUCGGCUUGAGUAGCGAAAACAUUGGUGAGAAUCCAAUGCCCCGAAAACCUAAGGUUUCCUUCGGAAGGCUCGUCCGCGGAGGGUAAGUCAGGACCUAAGGCGAGGCCGAGAGGCGUAGUCGAUGGAUAACGGGUUAAUAUUCCUGUACUCUUUUUUAUUGACAACGAAGGACGGAGAAGGCUAGAUUGGCCGGAUGUUGGUUACCGGUUUAAGCGUUCGAGGUGUUGAGAAACGGAGAAAACGUUUUGAGCUGAGACGUGAAUACGAGACGCUAAGGCGUCGAAGUAGUGUAUGUCAGACUUCCAAGAAAAGCUCGCACUGUCAUAGGUAAAAAAUGCCUGUACCAUAACCGACACAGGUGGGUAGGUAGAGUAUACUAAGGGGCGCGAGAUAACUCUCUCUAAGGAACUCGGCAAAAU